Small nuclear RNA from Ursus americanus (American black bear), 106 nucleotides. The record is from Ensembl. Lineage: Eukaryota; Metazoa; Chordata; Mammalia; Carnivora; Ursidae.
UUGGACUCACUUCUGCACAUGUAAUAAAAUUAGAAUGAUGGAGUGAAGAUUAGCCUGACAUCUGCACAAGGAUGACAUGCAAAUUUGUGAAGUGCUCCAUGUUUUG